GGCUUUUUGAUAAUAAUUUAAAGUUAGGCCUGCCCACUGAAAAAUUUUAAAGGGCCGCGGUAUUUUGACCGUGCUAAGGUAGCAUAAUCAUUAGUUUCUUAAUUGGAAGCUGGUAUGAAUGGUUAAAUGAGAAAAUAACUGUCUUAAAUUUAUUUAAAUUGAAUUUUAUUUUUAAGUUAAAAAGCUUAAAUUAAAUUAAAAGACGAGAAGACCCUAUAGAGUUUUAUAAAAUUAAGAAUAUUUAUUUUUGGAAUUUUAAUAAUAUAUGAAUUAAUUUAUUUAGUUGGGGUGAUUGAAAAAUUUAAUAAACUUUUUUUUAUAAUUUACCAUAGAUAAAUGAUUAGAUGAUCCAUAAAUAUGAUUAAAAGAGUAAAUUACCUUAGGGAUAACAGCGUAAUUUUUUUUGAGAGUUCAAAUCGAAAAAAAAGAUUGCGACCUCGAUGUUGGAUUAAAAUUAAUUUUUGGUGUAGAAGCUAGAAUAUUGGGUCUGUUCGACCCUUAAAAUUUUACAUGA
RNAcentral lists this ribosomal RNA (514 nucleotides) under Leptostylus neivai. Its description in RNAcentral is "partial large subunit ribosomal RNA". It matches the Rfam family "Bacterial large subunit ribosomal RNA", at positions 1816 to 2603 of the family's 2925-position model. The record is from RNAcentral. Lineage: Eukaryota; Metazoa; Arthropoda; Insecta; Coleoptera; Cerambycidae.